This 253-nucleotide ribosomal RNA is filed under the name uncultured bacterium. RNAcentral's name for it is "partial 16S ribosomal RNA". It matches the Rfam family "Bacterial small subunit ribosomal RNA", at positions 524 to 776 of the family's 1533-position model. The record is from RNAcentral.
UACGGGGGGGGCAAGCGUUGUUCGGAAUUACUGGGCGUAAAGGGCUCGUAGGUUGCCAACUAAGUCAGACGUGAAAUCCCUCGGCUUAACCGGGGAGCUGCGUCUGAUACUGGAUGGCUUGAGUUUGGGAGAGGGAUGCGGAAUUCCAGGUGUAGCGGUGAAAUGCGUAGAUAUCUGGAGGAACACCGGUGGCGAAGGCGGCAUCCUGGACCAACACUGACACUGAGGAGCGAAAGCCAGGGGAGCAAACGGG